AGGACGAACGCUGGCGGCGUGCUUAACACAUGCAAGUCGAGCGGUGAUCCUCCUUCGGGAGGUGAUCAGCGGCGAACGGGUGAGUAACACGUGGGCAACCUGCCCCUCACACUGGGAUAACCUCGGGAAACCGGGGCUAAUACCGGAUACGACCUCGAGCGGCAUCUCUUGAGGUGGAAAGCUCCGACGGUGAGGGAUGGGCCCGCGGCCUAUCAGCUUGUUGGUGGGGUAAUGGCCUACCAAGGCGACGACGGGUAGCCGGCCUGAGAGGGCGACCGGCCACACUGGGACUGAGACACGGCCCAGACUCCUACGGGAGGCAGCAGUGGGGAAUAUUGCGCAAUGGGCGAAAGCCUGACGCAGCGACGCCGCGUGAGGGAUGAAGGCCUUCGGGUUGUAAACCUCUUUCAGCAGGGACGAAGCGAAAGUGACGGUACUGCAGAAGAAGCACCGGCUAACUACGCGCCAGCAGUCGCGGUAA
Molecule: ribosomal RNA, 481 nt
Filed under: uncultured bacterium
Lineage: Bacteria
Description: SSU rRNA
Rfam family: Bacterial small subunit ribosomal RNA
Source: RNAcentral